ACACAUGCAAGUCGAGCGGUAGCACAGGGGGAGCUUGCUCCCUGGGUGACGAGCGGCGGACGGGUGAGUAAUGUCUGGGAAACUGCCUGAUGGAGGGGGAUAACUACUGGAAACGGUAGCUAAUACCGCAUAACGUCGCAAGACCAAAGAGGGGGACCUUCGGGCCUCUUGCCAUCAGAUGUGCCCAGAUGGGAUUAGCUAGUAGGUGGGGUAAUGGCUCACCUAGGCGACGAUCCCUAGCUGGUCUGAGAGGAUGACCAGCCACACUGGAACUGAGACACGGUCCAGACUCCUACGGGAGGCAGCAGUGGGGAAUAUUGCACAAUGGGCGCAAGCCUGAUGCAGCCAUGCCGCGUGUGUGAAGAAGGCCUUCGGGUUGUAAAGCACUUUCAGCGAGGAGGAAGGUGGUGAGCUUAAUACGCUCAUCAAUUGACGUUACUCGCAGAAGAAGCACCGGCUAACUCCGUGCCAGCAGCCGCGGUAAUACGGAGGGUGCAAGCGUUAAUCGGAAUUACUGGGCGUAAAGCGCACGCAGGCGGUUUGUUAAGUCAGAUGUGAAAUCCCCGGGCUCAACCUGGGAACUGCAUUUGAAACUGGCAAGCUAGAGUCUCGUAGAGGGGGGUAGAAUUCCAGGUGUAGCGGUGAAAUGCGUAGAGAUCUGGAGGAAUACCGGUGGCGAAGGCGGCCCCCUGGACGAAGACUGACGCUCAGGUGCGAAAGCGUGGGGAGCAAACAGGAUUAGAUACCCUGGUAGUCCACGCUGUAAACGAUGUCGAUUUGGAGGUUGUGCCCUUGAGGCGUGGCUUCCGGAGCUAACGCGUUAAAUCGACCGCCUGGGGAGUACGGCCGCAAGGUUAAAACUCAAAUGAAUUGACGGGGGCCCGCACAAGCGGUGGAGCAUGUGGUUUAAUUCGAUGCAACGCGAAGAACCUUACCUACUCUUGACAUCCAGAGAACUUUCCAGAGAUGGAUUGGUGCCUUCGGGAACUCUGAAACAGGUGCUGCAUGGCUGUCGUCACCUCCUGUUGUGAAAUGUUGGGUUAAGUCCCCCAACCAACGCCACCCCUUAUCCUUUGUUGCCACCGGUUCGGCCGGGAACUCCAAGGGAAACUGCCAGUGAAUAAACUGGAGGAAAGUGGGGAUAAACGUCCAGCUCUCCUGGCCCCUUACAAAUGGGGUACACCGUGCUACAUGGCUUUUUCAAAAAAAACCCCCCCAGAAAAAAA
Molecule: ribosomal RNA, 1226 nt
Filed under: Serratia marcescens
Lineage: Bacteria; Pseudomonadati; Pseudomonadota; Gammaproteobacteria; Enterobacterales; Yersiniaceae
Description: bacterial SSU rRNA
Rfam family: Bacterial small subunit ribosomal RNA
Source: RNAcentral